AUUGAACGCUGGCGGCAUGCUUUACACAUGCAAGUCGAACGGCAGCGCGGGCUUCGGCCUGGCGGCGAGUGGCGAACGGGUGAGUAAUACAUCGGAACGUGCCCAGUAGUGGGGGAUAGCUCGGCGAAGGCCGGAUUAAUACCGCAUACGACCUGAGGGUGAAAGCGGGGGAUCUUCGGACCUCGCGCUAUUGGAGCGGCCGAUGGCAGAUUAGCUAGUUGGUGGGGUAAAGGCCUACCAAGGCGACGAUCUGUAGCUGGUCUGAGAGGACGACCAGCCACACUGGGACUGAGACACGGCCCAGACUCCUACGGGAGGCAGCAGUGGGGAAUUUUGGACAAUGGGCGAAAGCCUGAUCCAGCAAUGCCGCGUGUGUGAUGAAGGCCUUCGGGUUGUAAAGCACUUUUGGCGGGAACGAAAAGGACUGUGCCAAUACCACGGUUCGAUGACGGUACCCGCAGAAUAAGCACCGGCUAACUACGUG
This 484-nucleotide ribosomal RNA is filed under the name uncultured bacterium. RNAcentral's name for it is "partial 16S ribosomal RNA". It matches the Rfam family "Bacterial small subunit ribosomal RNA", at positions 29 to 507 of the family's 1533-position model. The record is from RNAcentral.